Molecule: ribosomal RNA, 429 nt
Filed under: Pseudomonadota bacterium
Lineage: Bacteria; Pseudomonadati; Pseudomonadota
Description: Proteobacteria bacterium partial 16S ribosomal RNA
Rfam family: Bacterial small subunit ribosomal RNA
Source: RNAcentral
UGGGGAAUAUUGGACAAUGGGCGAAAGCCUGAUCCAGCCAUGCCGCGUGUGUGAAGAAGGUCUUCGGAUUGUAAAGCACUUUAAGUUGGGAGGAAGGGCAGUAAGCGAAUACCUUGCUGUUUUGACGUUACCGACAGAAUAAGCACCGGCUAACUCUGUGCCAGCGGCCGCGGUAAUACAGAGGGUGCAAGCGUUAAUCGGAAUUACUGGGCGUAAAGCGCGCGUAGGUGGUUCGUUAAGUUGAAUGUGAAAGCCCCGGGCUCAACCUGGGAACUGCAUCCAAAACUGGCGAGCUAGAGUAGGGCAGAGGGUGGUGGAAUUUCCUGUGUAGCGGUGAAAUGCGUAGAUAUAGGAAGGAACACCAGUGGCGAAGGCGACCACCUGGGCUCAUACUGACACUGAGGUGCGAAAGCGUGGGGAGCAAACAGG